RNAcentral lists this unclassified non-coding RNA (199 nucleotides) under uncultured fungus. Its description in RNAcentral is "sequence contains ITS1". Lineage: Eukaryota; Fungi. The record is from RNAcentral.
UUAACUAUUAUAUAGUACUCAGACGACACUAAAUUCAUGGUUUGAUUUCCUCUGGCGGGCGCUUACCAGCCGAAGCCGGUAGUCGGACCGAGGCCUGACGGCCCGCCAAAGCAACAAUGGUAACAAUAACAUAGGGUGGAGAUCUACCCGCAAGGGCAUGAACUCUGUAAUGAUCCCUCCGCAGGUUCACCUACGGAGA